Long non-coding RNA from Peromyscus californicus insignis, 6046 nucleotides. RefSeq lists it as uncharacterized. NCBI's taxonomy places the organism in Eukaryota, Metazoa, Chordata, Mammalia, Rodentia, Cricetidae. The transcript has 4 exons. The record is from RefSeq and is a predicted model, not a curated record.
CAAGAUGUAAGGACUGUCAGCUCCAGCACCAUGUCUGCCUGCACGCCACCUAAACCUCUGAAACUAUGCCGUUGUAACAUGGAAGUCAAGCCCAGCUUCCUGGCUGUUGUUACAGGGGAACUGAGGCAGGAUCUCUCACGGAACCUGGAACUUGCUAAUUCUGCAAGACUAGCUGGCCAGCCAGCCUCAGCAGCCUUUGUCUCUACCUAUACCACUUCAAGUACUGGGGCCAUUCUUGGUUCAGUGUCUCACUCUACAGACAGAACCUAUCAUGGGAGCUCCUUGGAUGGGAAAAGAGAAGAGAGAGGACUCUGCCUUCGUUAGGCCAGUUUCCUUGGCCUAUGUGAAGCUGGACAGCCUGACACAUACUGUUCAUUCCAAUGACAAUUGGUGCUCUGCCCUUGCACAGCCCUGCUCCACCCCAAUCCAACUGCCAAAAACCCAUUUUUUUAGACUUCAAUUAGCCUUACCUGGGCAGCACAGCAGCUUAUACUGGUUUUCUUCUCUGUUCCUUGAUUGGUAAAAAGUCUACUCAGCUUGCUAUGUGCAAGCAAUAUUACCAACUCUUAUGUAAAAGCAGAUCUCUCUCUCUCUCUCUCUCUCUCUCCACACACACACACACACAUAUAUAUAUGUAGAUAGAUAGAUAGAUAGAUAGAUAGAUAGAUAGAUAGAUAGAUAGAUAUAGAUAUGUCAUUGAAGGAAAGAAGAAAGGAGAAGGGAAAAAAGAAAAGAAGGAAGGAAGAGAAAGAGAAAAAGCCAACAAAAUUAUAAUCACUACCUGAUUGUAGUGUCUGCCAAUUUUUAUGCUGUAUAUUCCUUGGAUCUGGGAAAAGAUGCUUAGUAUCGGUUCUUAAGAGCAAGUCCAGUUGGCUCCAGCAUGUCACUGGAAUUUGUAGUCUGGUCUUAUUAUGGUGUAGUUUUCAUGCAGACUCCACAAACAUUCAAGAAAGGGAUUCAGGGGGCCUAUCUUAUAGUUGUUGGUUUAGUUGGUAUAGUCCUGUGUUUGUCAUAUAGCCAGGAUAUUUGCUUUCUAGAAUCUAUAGUGUUGGUUAUUGGGAGAUUACCCUCUCUAGACCAGCUUAAUGGACUUUUUGGAGGUAGAUAACUAAAAAUGUCCUUUAACAAUCAUAAAGCACAGAGCCCCUGGCUCCAAGAGAAGCCAGACUACCCAGUGAGAUACAGAGCAAGUACAUACACCAACUUUUUUUAUUCUGGGAACAGGGAUGAGGACCCAAGGACUUCUAUAUCAACACCUCUCCACUCUUCCACUCUUUUGCUUCUCAAGGUCUGUGAUGGUAUUUACAGGAAGGAUUAAGUGGAGGAGGCACAUUUCCAUAUAUAAGAGAUCUCAUAUAUAAGGAGGUCUGAUGGACAAAUUGAUGCUUUUGCCUAUCUGCCUUCACUCCUUGUUCAUGAGUGCAUCUACUCUAUUGCUGCUGCUAUGGUAACCUUUUGCUGACAUCAGAGCCCAGCUUCUUCAGUCUUCUAAUGUGGACUAAAACCCAGCAGCUCUCCAGACUUCCUCCAGGCCUUCAGUGUCACAUAGAAGUGCUGAGGAAUCCAGCCUCAUGAUCUGAGCAUGAUGGGAUGCAGACAGCCAUUGCUGGACACAACUCAUAUCAUGUGAUCCAGUCUAAUACAUUUCUUUUCACGAUAUAUAUUAAUUCUAUCAGUUUUUUGUAGAGUGUCUUGACUAAUAAAGGUAUAAGAUUAUUAGUCACAUAAAAUGCAGCUAUAAUGGAGAAUGUGCCUCAGGAGGUGUCAUUGGUAUAGAGACAGGUUUUAACAGGACAUGUCUUGGCCACUUACUACAAUCAUCUUGUGGCUAAGAACAUCACAAGCCAGAGUUAAGCUAUAGUUCUUGGCAUAUUUUAUGACAUUAUGGCCAUGGAGAGUGGCUAAAAGUAGUGUGAGAUUGAUGUGAGGGCUCUUGGGGAUGGCACACAAAUACCAUGUCAGUGCUUGUAGGCAGGGGAAGAAAAGAAACCAGACAUGAGUCUCAUGGAGGGCAACCGACCAGCUUCACUCCAUCCUGCUCUGCUCUUUGUUGCUUUCAAUUCCUGUUUGGCUCUGGCACAACGUUUUGGGCCUGGACCAAGCAAGUUUCAUGAUUGUUGCCCACUGUCUAGACUUAAUAGUAAGUUUGCAGGUGGCUUUACUGAAGGCCUAAGACAUGCUGGCAUGAAAUGGCUGCACUUUGGUUUCUGAGGUGCUUAUGGGAGCGGACUUGGUAAAGUUUGUCACUCAUGACAAUGGGCUGUUUUAGAUACAUGGUUCCAAAAGGGUGACCCUAGACAUUUUAAGAAGUGAGGUGGGACCAAAAGACUUCGGUUCUUAUAGUUAGUCAUCUUGUAAUAUGAACUUGAAGGCUGUGUACGCAGCUUUUUCUCUUUGAACUCUGAAGCAUUUCUAUGAACUAAUCUCUCUCUCUUGUCCUACCUCUCCUUAUUUCUAGAGUCCAGUUUGCUUAAGAUGACCUCAUCAGACUUCCUUCCUACACAAGCUUCUCUGGAUAUUGCGUCCGCCAUUGUGGUGGUUGAUAUUUGACCAUCAGCUUGACAGGAUGUAGAAUCACCCUCAAAGUGUGCGCCCGAACAGCACCCCUUCCUUAGGCAUUAUGUCACAACAGUGAGAAAAAGUAACGAAUACAGUCACUUGAGCGUUAGUAUGAACUAAUGGUACCUUAACCUGUGAUGUUACACUUAAAGUAUCCCAGCAGAGGAACUCUCCCAGAAGCAACAGAAUAAAACCCAGGCACGUUCAGCUUCUUUCAUCCAUCCCAAUACAAACACGGGUGCAAGAAGUAGAUAUUUUAAGACAAUUGCACUAAACUAUUCCUUUACACAGAGUGAGAAUAUGUUGUUCUUUCACUUCUGUUCGUAGUUCCAUCACACUGGCAUCUCAUCCUUUGAAAAUCUGAGAGUGUAGAACGAGAAAGCUGAAAGUUCAGCUCAGAAGGAGUCUAUGUAACUUACACCAAGUUUCUAAAAGUGUGCCAUGUUAUAUAAUCCAGGGGAAGGCAUGGAAAAGUACUAGCUGAUGUGGAGCUGGAGGCUGUCCUGCCUCUGACUCACUGAGGCAAAAGCAUUUGAAUUAAGAUACAUCUCAGAACAGCCAGACGAAGUCCAUUCAUCCUCCAGGAUCUCACACAUUCACUGUGGGGGAGUAAAAUGCAAGGCUAGGAAACUGGGAAGAGAGGUGAGUUCUCAAAGUUGGCUCCUGCUCCUCUUGAGGCCAGCGUUCGAGGACUUUUCUAGUCCUUCCAGCCAUCCAGUGCUGUCUUCUGUUUCUAUACCAUCACCCCAGUGUGGGAAAGAUGACCUUCAACUGUCCCCUAGUUUCUGUACUGUGGCCUCAGACCCUGUUCUGGGUUGCAGAGUAUUAUUGCAAAUGGAAAAGUUAUGUAGAACUGUGCCAUUUUGUCAGCUAGUCAAAUAACACAUCUUUAUGUGUAGUUCCUAUAUAUGCAGUUGCACAUGUAUCUGUGUGUAUUUGGAGGCCAGAGUUCAACCUCAAGUGUUGUUCUUCAGAAGCCAUCCACCUUGUGUUUUGUUUUGAGCCCGAGUCUUUCGCCGGCUUGGGGCUCACCAAUAGGCUAGACUGGGGCCAGUGAGUUUUAGGGAUCCAACCACCUCUACUUUCCCAGUUCUGGAAUUAUAAGCACAUGCCACCAUGACUAACUUCUUAUUCUUUUUUAAAAAUUAUAUGUAGAUGUGUGUGUCUGUACAGGUGAGAGCAGGUGCCUGUAGAGACCAGAAGAAGGUAUCAAAUCCCUUGAUGCUGGAGUUACAGGCAGUUGGGAACUGCCUGAUGUAGGUGCUAGGAACUGAAUUCAGGGUGUCAUACUGGCCUGGAACUUGCCAAGUCUACUGGGCUGGCCCACUAGUGAGCCCCACCGAUGUGCCUGUCUGUGCCUCCCCAGCAUUGGGAUUGGAAGCUCAAGAGACUGUGCCUGGGGUCCUGCCUCCAGGACUCCCUUCUCCACACAGGAAGUGACCAAACACUCACAGUGUCUUUCCCCUGUGUGUAUAACUUACUUUUUCUGCUCUUGUGUCCAAAUAUAAAGCAACUCAAGAGGAGAAGGGCUUAUUUUGGCUUACAGUUUGAGGGGUGACAGUCCAGUACUGUUGGGAAGUCAUGGUCGCAGCAACAUGUGAUGACUCCCAAAUGUGAGCAUUACAGGUGUGAGCUGUUAUGCUACUCAAAUGGUUGUCAGUUUAUGUUCAAGAAGGGCCACAUAGUUUGGGAAUGCUUUUUCUCUUUAAAUGUUUGAGUCAAGGAGCUUACUAUGUUGUGCAAACUGGCCUCAAACUCUCCGUGGUUCUUCUGCCCAGCCUCCUGAGUGCUGGGAUUACAAGUAAGAUGCUAGAAUUCCAGAGCUGAAAGGGAACCAAGAAUACAGGGUCUAGUCACUUAUUUUAAGGAUAAGAAAGCAGGAGUGGGUCUCCCAGAGGGAAGUAGUCAAUACAAGACUCUUAGCAGGAUCUCUGGCUUCCAAACCAGUGACGCUUUCACUGUGUCAAAUAGUACUCUGUGUUUCAAUUGUCAAUCUUCCUGCCUUAAUCUACUUCCUAUAGGAAGCCAUUCUGGUGUCUGGCCAGUCCCUGAAUGAUCUCUGGCCCCAAUGAAACUGGUGGCUAGCUACUAUUCCUUAUUGUAUUUGCACUAGUAAUUAAAAAGCUGUGAAUCAGACACUUGGGAACUAUCCAGCUCCUCACCCCCAUCUUAGGAUAUUACCUAUGACAAACUAAAUAAAAGGAAGUUCUUAAAAUAUGCCUACAGUUAAGCAAUCAUCCAGCUACCUGAUGGCUCUUUUUUUUCUCCAAAAUUAGCUUUUUAUUGACUCUUUGUGGAUUUCAUAUUAUGCAUCCCAAUUCCACUCAUCUCCCCAUCGCCUCAAUUCUACCCUCUGCCCUUACAACCCCCCAAACAAAAUUUAAAAGUAAAACAAAACAAACAAACAAACAAAAUCUCAGCAUGGAAGCUGUAGUACAACCCAGUGAGUCACACAGUUUACCCUUCAGUCCAUACAGUUUUACUUGUAAGUGUUCACUGCAAUGAGUCAUUGGUCUGGUUUGAGGCCUCUGGCGUCUGCUAUACUAUCAAUACUGAGUCCUCACUGGGAUGCCUCUUGGAUAUCCUAUUAUUGCCUUCUGUCAUGGAGAUCCUUAGCUUUGAAUCUGCAGGUCUGGACCCUUCUGCAGGUCUGGACCCUUCACACGCUCCAGCAGUUCACAGAUGAGGUGGGUGUUGGGGUGGGCUACCUUAUAGUCCUGGUUCUGGGCCUGGGUGGUAGCUGCGUUCGUCAGUCUGCCAGCUCUCCCUCAUCAUCACCACCCGAAUGAGCUCUCCAGCACUGCCCUGGCUAGCUCACCCAAUGUAGCAGACAGCAAGGAGUGGGCCGGUUCUCCUGCUCUCAUGCCCUCGGGUCCAGCUCGCACUCACACCACUCGGCUCAGGGCCAGCUCUACUGUUUUGCCCAGGUGAGAUGCAGGGCCUGCCCUCUGGAUUGCUGCACUCAAUGAGAGGCAGGGCCAGCUCUUCUGUUCUCAUGCCCCCAAGGUCAGCUCUCCUGCCUGUCGCAGGUGGCAAGGGGUGGGGGAGGGCAUAUUUCCCUUACCUUUGCCAUGAUGCCUCUUUUUAAAAUGGAUAUAUGUGUAUGUGUGUUCAUGUACUGUGGUGAUAUUUUAUUUGUGCUCUAAUAAAUAAAGCUUGCCUGGAGAUCAGAGGAAAAAGCCAGCCAUUAUAUUAAACAAAAGUCAGGCAAUGUGAGCAUAUGCCUUUAAUCCUAUCACUUGGCAGGCAGGGAUCUAUCUGGAUCUCUGUGAAUUCAAGGGCCACACUGGGGAACUGAGCCAGGUAUGGUGACACACGCCUUUAAUCCCAGCACCAACCAUAGAAGUCUGGAGGUCGUUACAAACAGACAGGAAGUGACAGAGCUGGGCAGGAAGAGGAAGUGAUGUAGCUGGGCUGAGAGAGUGAGUGAGAGAACAGAACAGAAAGGCAUAUAGGCAUGGGUAUAUAGGAGUAGGUCUUUUUGGAA